Arvicola amphibius (Eurasian water vole) is the source of this 859-nucleotide long non-coding RNA. RefSeq lists it as uncharacterized. The transcript has 5 exons. Lineage: Eukaryota; Metazoa; Chordata; Mammalia; Rodentia; Cricetidae. The record is from RefSeq and is a predicted model, not a curated record.
CAGGGUUUCUCUGUGUAACUGUGGCUGUCCUGGAACUCUCUCUAUAGACCAGGCUGGCCUCGGCCUGCCUCUGCCUGCUGAGUGCUGGAAUUAAAGGCGUGCACCUCCACCGCCCAGCUAGCUCACUCAAAAUCGGCAAGGAAGCGAGUAUUUUUAGAGUGUGAAACCCUAGUCUACCACUGCUGUUUGAAGAGCCCACCGCAUGGGACCCCGCUGAAGGCUCUACACAAUGUAUCACUGAGAAGCAGCCGGUGUGGUGUGCAAUCAAAAUGAGAGAAGACGCCGGAGACCCUCUGUCUCCUCCAGCCCUGCAGCGCGGGGUCCACAGCUUACCACAGUCAGUGACUCUCUAGGUGUCAGGCCUGGGCUUUCUUUGCACCAAGCACAGUCUUCUUCGGGGACACCUCCACCGACAGCUGCAGCCUCUGCCCCAUUCAAGGACUAAAGUUUGCUGGCUUUGCAGAAGAACAAGAAGGAAGUUACCUUAUUGCUCAGGUUCACGUUCGCGUUUCUACUGAGGAGCAGCGACACCAUGUCCACGUGCCCUUCCUGAGCUGCGAGAUGGACGGAAGCAAUCCCUUGCCGGGUGACCGCAUUCGCAUCAGCACCAUACUCCAGCAGAGAAGUCGCUAUGUCCAUCUGGUUCUUCUUGGCCGCAAUGUGCAGUGGUGUAUAACCAUUCUGUCAAAACCAAUCAAUCAUGUCUAGUACUGAGGAAAAAAGGUGUCCCUUGUCUUCCUGUGCUGGGAACUCUGGACCCAAUGCAGUGAUGCUGGGAGGUGGAACCUGGAAGAGGUGGAGAGGAUGCAGGAGGACCUGCCCUUCAAGGAUGCUCUCGAAGAUAAGAUAGAGAGAGGGG